AGUACUGAAAAGACAUUUGGAGGACAUGUACCAAAAUGUUAACUGAGCCAGUUUUUGCGUUAACAGAUGGUUCUUAUAGCAGAAGAGUCCAACACAAGGAAAGCCUGCCAGACCCAUGCAGCCAACAGUGGCUGGGCAAAUGCAGAUGAGAAGAGAAAGAAAGUGCCCUGGGAAUGUGGAAUACCGCUGUGGCAACCCGACAUCCCCCGAGAAUUAGGAUGGCAUGGUCUGUUGCCCUGGGACCACGGACUUUGCCUCCUCUUCCCUGCCACUCCAUCUCCUCAGGGAUUGGCCCCUCCUGGGUCACCAGCCUUGAUGUGCUCAUUUGUGCAGGCGAUAAACUAAGACCUCCUUUCCUUAAACUAUAAAUAUAGGAAGUUUUGACUGUGUGCUAGAGUACUCGCAGGUACCUAGGAAGACAGUGGAUGUUUAUAGUAGGCAGAAAUAGGAAGCUUUGGGAAAGGUGGAUCUAGCCAAGCUCAAGGACCCACACUUUUAAAUGCUAAAAGCAACACAGAUGGGGUUCAGGCUUGGCUUGGAAGACUGAGAGACGAAGUCAAAGUGCAUCAAAGCAAAAACUGGAAGAUAGCAGAUCGAGAAGCUGGAUGGACAUCAGAUAUGCACCCUCGGGGAAGAGGCUGAAUUUUAGAUGCAGUAGGAUAGCCGGGAAGACAAGAACAGGAGCUUACCUGGGCAGCGGCACCAGCAUCCAGGAGCCCCUUGGACUGGACUUUUGUUCGCCUCGCAAGCAGGAAAGCCCAGAUUUUAUUUAUUCAUAAGAGACACAGAGAGAGAGAGAGAGGCAGAGACACAGGCAGAGGAAGAAGCAAGCUCCAUGCAGGGAGCCUGACGUGAGACUCGAUUCCAGGUUUGGUUUAUUUUUAAGCUACAACUUUCCAGGUGUCCCCCAUUCCUUCAUAACAUUCAGACCCCAAACUCCUUCCCUCUUUCAAGGUUCCUCUCCCUUUAUAGGGACACAAAAACCAAUCACCACCUUGUUGAAAUUAUAGCAAUGGUUGUGUUGCUAGGAAAGAAGGAAAGGAGGACCCAGUUGACCCUCCCUCUUGGCAAAAUGAGAGAAAAUCCAGGGAAGCUCUCCAUCCAAGAAACCUGUGAGCAGUGACUUGACAGGGUCAAGUGUCCCUACUCAGAUGACCUUUAUCACGUGGCCCUGGCUCUUCGGAUUUCCAAGCACAAAUGCUAACCCAUUAAGAGAUUGCCAAGCUGGCUUUGUGACAUCGGUACCCAGCAGGUGGGCCCGGUGUGACCAGUGUUCAGCGAUGGGGUGGUGGGAAGAGACCAGGGCUUGCUCUACAGCCCUGCCCAACAGAACUUUCUGCAGUAAGAGGAGCGGUCUGCAUCUGCAGGCAGCCCACGGCCACGGGACUCAUGCGGCCUUGAGCACUCGCACGGGACCAGCUUCAAUCCUCCUGGACUUCUCUGUUUUCUUGCUUCCCUCACAUUCAGCUUCUCCUUGUUGGUUCAUCAGUCUCUAGCAGCUCCACGGCCAAAGCCUCUCCUCGGCUAACCCUACCCCACUGGCCAAACUUCAGCAAGAAGCAACGUUACGCUAUCUGCUUUGAAAAGACUGAGUGUGGCUUUCUCUGAGCAGGAUGAGGUUGGCAAGGAUGGCUGAAGCUGGGCGUCAUGUUCCAAACUGCUAAUUUGCUAAAAUAAUUUGGGAAAGUGCUACUUUAAAACCCCGACAUGAACGAAAGCAACCUCUCUGCAAUUUGUAGGAGGCAAAAGUCCAUGCUACUGGAGGUUACACGUGCUAAUUGUCUCAGUGGUUGUUUAUGAAAUGGCUAUAGAAUAUUUGUUUCUCUCUGUCAGAGCACUUGGCCCAGAAAGGCAGGCUCCCUUGCUGAGGUUUUCUAUCGUGGCCCAAUCCAAGGACUCAGCCUGAUUUCUUAUCAACUGGAAAUUUGGAAUUACAUAAUCAGCUCCCUGCGCCUGCCCUCCCCCCACCCUCAGGAGCUGCAGAUGUGUUCAUGGUAGCCUUUGCAGUCCAGGCAGAUUGUCCCGUGCAGAGGUCCUGCUGAGCAGAGACAGACAGGCGGACACAGGGGACUGUGUUUUGUACUAUUCUGGUCAACCGCCUGCCGUUGGCUGGAUCAGGGCUGGGCAUUGACCCCAGAGCCCCUGGCUUCAUAGGCUGGACAGUGACCUAUGACCUUGCACAAAAGAAUGCCCUCCAUGGGGGGAUCCCCAGCUGGCUCAGCAGUUUGGUGCCCACCUUCAGCCCAGGGUGUGAUCCUGGAGUCCCAGGAUCGAGUCCUGCAUCUGACUCCCGCAUGGAGCCUGCUUCUCCCUCUGCCUAUGUCUCUGCCUCUCUCCCUCCCUCUCUCUCUCUUUCUCUCUGUGUCUCUCAGGAAUAAAUAAAUAAAAUCUUAAAAAAAAGAAAAAAGAAAAAAAAAAAGAAUGCCCUCCAUGGAGAUUUCCUUUCUCUGGACUCUAAACUGGAAGCAGAAAUGGCAGAUGGGGGUUGAGAGAAGAGGAGCUAAACGGAGUGGCUCAGCGAGAGAGCCCUCUCAGCCAGAGACUGAGAUUUUGCAUAAAUGGGGGAGAGCCUCGGAAUCUGUGUUUUUAAAAUUCCUCCGGAGACUCCAACGCACUCCUAUCCAGUGUGUUUUAAUUCCAUAGGUACUUAGUCACCUCCCACAGGACACUUGUACCUAACCUCACACCUCCCGUUUGAAACUUUAACCUAAGAGACCGCCGGUAUUUUGCUCUUGUUGGUAGUAAUUCAGUGUAAGGCUUUCCAUUUAAUAUUUCCUUAGGAUAGAUUGCUCCUAGUGGGGUUAAUCGUCAAGGAGAUACUUAUCUUUGCGGUUCUCGCCACAGGUUACCUCCCAACUGGUUGUGUGACUUCACUGCAUCGUUGAUUAACUGAGCGUGUCAGUUUUACCACAACCUUGCCAGCACCGACAAUAUUAUUUUGCAUUUCCCUCCUAAUCCCCUGCAUUUCUUUAGUAAAGGUUUGAAAGUGC
Canis lupus familiaris (dog) is the source of this 2990-nucleotide long non-coding RNA. RefSeq lists it as uncharacterized. Lineage: Eukaryota; Metazoa; Chordata; Mammalia; Carnivora; Canidae. The record is from RefSeq and is a predicted model, not a curated record. The transcript is spliced from 4 exons.